RNAcentral lists this ribosomal RNA (375 nucleotides) under Triticum aestivum (bread wheat). RNAcentral's name for it is "partial small subunit ribosomal RNA". The record is from RNAcentral. Lineage: Eukaryota; Viridiplantae; Streptophyta; Magnoliopsida; Poales; Poaceae.
AUGUGGUCGUUGGAGGGCGCGGCAGAGGUGCUGGGCGUCAACUGCAUCAUCGACCGCCUCGACACACGCACGCACGAGCGCGGCCACACCAAGACGUUCGCGUGCUGGGUGUGGGUGUGGGAUGUCGCCUUCAUCGCCACCAAGCACACCAUCUGGCGGGCCGCGCGUGGCACCGGCCGUGUCGAGACCAUGCUUGGCGCCUCUCCCCCAAGCCGCGAGGUUGCUCCACCACCCCGCGUCAGGCAACACCAGAUGCUCAUCCACGUCGACCGCGUAGAAGACUGGUCGUCACCGUCGCCUCGCUCCUCCCACUCCGGCCAGAGCGGUCUCCCCUCCUUCGGCUCCGACGACGACCGCCCAUGUCCGACGACCUAG